CUUCCUACAGUGCAAACAUGAGGAUCCUUUAUGUUCUGCUUCUGCUAUUGUUGAUAAAAAGAGAGACGUUUGCACAGUCAAUAACGCCGCAGGAAAACAAGGUGCUUAAAUCUGAAGGAGAAAAAGUCACUCUGUCCUGUAAAUAUGAUGGAGCUGUAAAUAACCUGCACUGGUAUCGUCAGUAUCUGGGAUCCAAACCAGAGUUCCUCACAUUCAUUUAUCCACAUGGAACCACGAGUGACCAUCUUCCUCCUCGUCUUUUACCUAAAGUCGAUAAAAACAACAAUUUUGUGAGCCUGGAGAUCUCCUCUGCUGAAGUAUCAGACUCUGCGCUGUAUUACUGCGCACUGACGCCCACAGUGACAGGAAACUCAUCUACACUGUACAAAAACGUCCUCAACAAUACAACUCUAUCCUCAUAAACUGAAGUUUCAGAAAAGGGCCAGUGCAUCACAAAACACUUAAAAUAUCAUACAGCAGUUCAGACAGUGGUGGUAUAUGUAAGAAAAGUAGCAGACUAUAAUGCAUCUAAACAUCUAAUGCAAA
Molecule: non-coding RNA, 546 nt
Organism: Rhinichthys klamathensis goyatoka
Lineage: Eukaryota; Metazoa; Chordata; Actinopteri; Cypriniformes; Leuciscidae
Source: the annotation of a RefSeq genome assembly